This 619-nucleotide unclassified non-coding RNA is filed under the name Bombus terrestris (buff-tailed bumblebee). RNAcentral describes it as "misc RNA ENSBTSG00005023560.1". The record is from RNAcentral. Lineage: Eukaryota; Metazoa; Arthropoda; Insecta; Hymenoptera; Apidae.
CAUAGUGUAACAUAACGAUGACUUCGGAACGUUAAAAAUUCCCUCUUCAACACUAAAAAGGGAAGAAACGCAUGGGUCAGAAAAAUCGUUCGAAUAUUUCCAUCGAUCUGAUUCGAGAUGUCUUAUCGUCGCUAGUUCGUCACUCGAUAACGAGUUUCCGACACAUUAAAUAAAAGAACCUGAAAUCGUGUAUUAAUAAAAAUGGAGUAUGGUUUAUUAUUUAGAUGCAAUUAUGAAGACUUAGGAGAAGCGUCAAAUGUUUAAUAGAAGAGUUUAGAAGUGUCUGUUGGAUAUAAUGGAUUUAUUAUCGGUUCAACAUUGUUUCGGAGAAAGCUAAGGUGAAUGUUAGAUAAGGCGGGAUUAAAAGCACGAUAAGCAGGAGCUGCGGAAUAUAUACGGAUUAUUUGAAAAUUUUAAUACGUUAUUGGAGAAGUGAGUUUCAUUUGUGAUAUUGAGAAUAUUAUGGCUCAUAUCGUCCUUUCCCGCUCGAAAUGUUGCAUAAUGAAUAAUACUAUAUGGAAUUUAUGAGAUACAGUAAAUGGAACGUUUUAUAAAAAUAAUGACAUAAAAUAUUACAUAACUACUGAUCUAUCGACAUUUAUUUACUUUAUUUAUUUCG